ACGGAGGAUCCAAGCGUUAUCCGGAUUUAUUGGGUUUAAAGGGUGCGUAGGCGGCCUAUUAAGUCAGAGGUGAAAUUUUGCAGCUUAACUGUAAACGUGCCUUUGAUACUGAUGGGCUUGAAUUAAGAUGAAGUGGGCGGAAUGUGACAAGUAGCGGUGAAAUGCAUAGAUAUGUCACAGAACACCGAUUGCGAAGGCAGCUCACUAAGGUUAGAUUGACGCUGAGGCACGAAAGCGUGGGGAUCAAACAG
This 251-nucleotide ribosomal RNA is filed under the name uncultured prokaryote. RNAcentral describes it as "partial 16S rRNA". It matches the Rfam family "Bacterial small subunit ribosomal RNA", at positions 525 to 775 of the family's 1533-position model. The record is from RNAcentral.